RNAcentral lists this ribosomal RNA (247 nucleotides) under uncultured bacterium. RNAcentral describes it as "partial 16S ribosomal RNA". It matches the Rfam family "Bacterial small subunit ribosomal RNA", at positions 527 to 779 of the family's 1533-position model. The record is from RNAcentral.
CGGAGGAGCUAGCGUUAUUCGGAAUUACUGGCGUAAGCGCACGUAGGCGGCUUGUAAGUUAGAGGUGAAGCCUGGAGCUCAACUCCAGAAUUGCCUUUGAUACUGCAUGGCUUGAAUCCAGGAGAGGUGAGUGGAAUUCCGAGUGUAGAGGUGAAAUUCGUAGAUAUUCGGAAGAACACCAGUGGCGAAGGCGGCUCACUGGACUGGUAUUGACGCUGAGGUGCGAAAGCGUGGAGCAAACAGGAUU